AGAGAAUUGGCCGAGUGGUUUAAGGCGGUAAGUUUGAGUUUUACUUGGUUAGAAAUAGCUUCAUCAGUUCGAAUCUGAUAUUCUCUG
This is a non-coding RNA of Metarhizium robertsii ARSEF 23, 87 nucleotides long. NCBI's taxonomy places the organism in Eukaryota, Fungi, Ascomycota, Sordariomycetes, Hypocreales, Clavicipitaceae. The record is from Rfam.